GAUGAACGCUAGCUACAGGCUUAACACAUGCAAGUCGAGGGGAAACGAUAGAGAAAGCUUGCUUUUUCUAGGCGUCGACCGGCGCACGGGUGAGUAACGCGUAUCCAACCUGCCCAUCACUUGGGGAUAACCUUGCGAAAGUAAGACUAAUACCCAAUGAUAUCUCUAGAAGACAUCUGAAAGGGAUUAAAGAUUUAUCGGUGAUGGAUGGGGAUGCGUCUGAUUAGCUUGUUGGCGGGGUAACGGCCCACCAAGACGACGAUCAGUAGGGGGACUGAGAGGAAGGUCCCCCACAAGGGAACUGAGACACGGUCCAAACUCCGACGGGAUGCAGCAGUGAGGAAUAUUUGUCAAUGGGCAAGAGCUUGAACCAGCCAAGUAGCGUGCAGGAUGACGGCCCUAUGGGUUGUAAACUGCUUUUAUAAGGGAAUAAAGUGAGUCUCGUGAGACUUUUUGCAUGUACCUUAUGAAUAAGGACCGGCUAAUUCCGUGCCAGCCGCCGCAGUAA
This 508-nucleotide ribosomal RNA is filed under the name uncultured bacterium. RNAcentral's name for it is "partial 16S ribosomal RNA". It matches the Rfam family "Bacterial small subunit ribosomal RNA", at positions 28 to 523 of the family's 1533-position model. The record is from RNAcentral.